This 450-nucleotide ribosomal RNA is filed under the name uncultured bacterium. RNAcentral describes it as "partial 16S ribosomal RNA". It matches the Rfam family "Bacterial small subunit ribosomal RNA", at positions 338 to 795 of the family's 1533-position model. The record is from RNAcentral.
CCUACGGGGGGCUGCAGUAAGGAAUAUUGGUCAAUGGACGAAAGUCUGAACCAGCCAUCCCGCGUGCAGGAUGAAAGCCCUAUGGGUUGUAAACUGCUUUUAGCAGAGAAGAAAAGCUUUCAUUAAUGAGAGUCUGACGGUAUCUGCAGAAUAAGCACCGGCUAACUCCGUGCCAGCAGCCGCGGUAAUCCGGAGGGUGCGAGCGUUAUUGGGAAUUACGGGUGCUAAGGCGGAGUAAUAAGGAGUAUUAGAAAUCUUGUCGCUUAACGAUAAAAUUGCCAAGGAUACUGGUACUCUUGAAUUGGGUUGAGGUUAGCGGAAUGGGACAUGUAGCGGUGAAAUGCAUAGAUAUGUCAUGGAACACCAAUUGCGAAGGCAGCUAACUGGGCCUUGAUUGACGCUGAGGCACGAAAGCGUGGGUAGCGAACAGGAUUAGAUACCCCAGUAGUC